Molecule: ribosomal RNA, 377 nt
Filed under: uncultured organism
Description: bacterial SSU rRNA
Rfam family: Bacterial small subunit ribosomal RNA
Source: RNAcentral
CGGGGGGAGCAAGCGUUGUUCGGAUUUACUGGGCGUAAAGGGCGCGUAGGCGGCCACCGCAAGUCGACUGUGAAAUCUCCGGGCUUAACCCGGAAAGGUCAGCCGAUACUGCGGGGCUAGAGUGCAGAAGGGGGCAACUGGAAUUCUCGGUGUAGCGGUGAAAUGCGUAGAUAUCGAGAGGAACACCUGCGGCGAAGGCGGGUUCGCUGGGCUGACACUGACGCUGAGGCGCGAAAGCUAGGGGAGCGAACGGGAUUAGAUACCCCGGUAGUCCUAGCCUUAAACGAUGAAUGCUUGGUGUCUGGGGUUUUAUAGUCCCCGGGUGCCGUCGCUAACGCUUUAAGCAUUCCGCCUGGGGAGGUACGGUCGCAAGACUG